This 466-nucleotide ribosomal RNA is filed under the name uncultured bacterium. RNAcentral's name for it is "bacterial SSU rRNA". It matches the Rfam family "Bacterial small subunit ribosomal RNA", at positions 775 to 1238 of the family's 1533-position model. The record is from RNAcentral.
AGUCAAUAGAUACCCAGGUAGUCCACGCCGUAAACGAUGAGUACUAGGUGUAGGAGGUAUCGACUCCUUCUGUGCCGCAGUUAACACAAUAAGUACUCCGCCUGGGAAGUACGGUCGCAAGAUUAAAACUCAAAGGAAUUGACGGGGGCCCGCACAAGCAGCGGAGCAUGUGGUUUAAUUCGAAGCAACGCGAAGAACCUUACCUAGACUUGACAUCUCCUGAAUAGUGUAGAGAUACAUGAAGCCCUUCGGGGCAGGAAGACAGGUGGUGCAUGGUUGUCGUCAGCUCGUGUCGUGAGAUGUUGGGUUAAGUCCCGCAACGAGCGCAACCCUUAUUACUAGUUGCUACCAUUAAGUUGAGCACUCUAGUGAGACUGCCCGGGGUUAACCGGGGAGGAAGGCGGGGAUGACGUCAAAUCAUCAUGCCCCUUAUGUCUAGGGCAACACACGUGCUACAAUGGUGAGU